ACACAUUAUAAUAAAGCUAGGACAUAAUUUUGUACUUAAUAUAUUGAUUUGAUCAACAAAAGGAUAAGUUUAUUUUUUAUUAAAGUAUGAUGUGUCCUUGAAUCAUCCAUGAAAUUAACUUUUUGAUACAUAUUCUCAAAGUGUUGAGAAUUAAAGACAUGUAUUUAAUUCCUAAAUGCUCCCGAUCAUAGUAUCAUCAUGAGGACGAUGAUCGGUUCAGAU
Molecule: long non-coding RNA, 222 nt
Filed under: Elaeis guineensis (African oil palm)
Lineage: Eukaryota; Viridiplantae; Streptophyta; Magnoliopsida; Arecales; Arecaceae
Description: long non-coding RNA (EGUI_LNC056498)
Source: RNAcentral